RNAcentral lists this ribosomal RNA (468 nucleotides) under uncultured bacterium. Its description in RNAcentral is "partial 16S ribosomal RNA". It matches the Rfam family "Bacterial small subunit ribosomal RNA", at positions 28 to 507 of the family's 1533-position model. The record is from RNAcentral.
GACGAACGCUGGCGGCGUGCUUAACACAUGCAAGUCGAACGGAAAGGCCCUGCUUUUGUGGGGUGCUCGAGUGGCGAACGGGUGAGUAACACGUGAGUAACCUGCCCUUGACUUUGGGAUAACUUCAGGAAACUGGGGCUAAUACCGGAUAGGAGCUCCUGCUGCAUGGUGGGGGUUGGAAAGUUUCGGCGGUUGGGGAUGGACUCGCGGCUUAUCAGCUUGUUGGUGAGGUAGUGGCUUACCAAGGCUUUGACGGGUAGCCGGCCUGAGAGGGUGACCGGCCACAUUGGGACUGAGAUACGGCCCAGACGCCUACGGGAGGCAGCAGUGGGGAAUAUUGCACAAUGGGCGGAAGCCUGAUGCAGCAACGCCGCGUGCGGGAUGACGGCCUUCGGGUUGUAAACCGCUUUCGCCUGUGACGAAGCGUGAGUGACGGUAAUGGGUAAAGAAGCACCGGCUAACUACGUG